GGAGAGAUGAUAAAUCCAUAACUACUAUGAGGAACAUUGGCCAUAAGUCAAAUAUAUAGUGUUCAUGUUUGUCACUUGUCCAAAGUCUAAACUCAAUAUAGACUUAUAUGCUUGACUGCUUGUGCUGAUUUUUCAUGAUUAAUCUUACACUGCUCUGCGUUGGAAGUUGGAACAAGAGAUCGACAUGGAAGUCAUGGUAUUGAUGCAGGGUUUAGUUUUCGCACUCUCGAUUUUAGGUUUUGAUUUCGUCAAAAAUGGGCGAUUCUUCUAAACUCAGAGACUCCCACUAUCUCUUUUGGAUCUAUUGUGCUUUUUUUGAGCCAAAAAACUCAGGUUCCUGUGAAGAGCACUGUGAUUGUUCGUAUUGUUGCUGCACUGCCGGCGUUCUUUAUGGAUGUUUCAGAAUUGGAGUCUGGUAAUCUGGUUACAACCCGAUGAUUUAUUGAUUUCACAUGUGCCAAUCUCAUGCAAUGAAUGAUUGGCAGGCAAAACUACAAUCCAUGAAAUCAACACUUAAUUGUUUGCUAAUAAGGAAGAAUCUUCCCCCAGUUGGUAGUUGCAAGCCAAGUUGCAAGCUAAUGGAACCUCCUAGAGGUAAUGCCCGUGUUCCCCUAAGCUGAACCACCACAGUCCACAUGGAGUUUUCUCUUUUGCUGCGGCACCGCUUCUACAACCUAGAUACUACUCCGUCUCAUCCUCCCCUCGGUGGUAUAAUCUUUUUUUUUUCCUCAGUGAACGUGAAUUGUGUGAUUUAAUCUCUCCAUUAACCAGCUCAUCUAGGCAUAGAGGAAUUAGUUUCAUUUUUAGUUUGUUUUCCUCAUUCUUUUUAUUUGGUUACGGGUAUUAAUCGCAAUGUCUUACGUGCCAGAAUAGUGAAAGUAGCUUUGACGGACCUCAAGGAAAAAGACGAGAGAGAUCGUCAUCUUAGGUAGAAAUGAGGCGCUGCCGUGCAACAAAGGAAGGGAAUACAGAAUAGAAACAUAAGCGAGCAUGCCUAAUGUUUAAAGUUGAUACUUUGAUUUGGAAACAAUAAGAGGUAGUUUGGUUCACCAAUAAAGAAGGAGAGAAUCAAGAAAGGAAUGAGUGGGAAACUUUGAAAACAUGUUUGAUACUUUAAUUUGGAUCGUAAGUAGAAUUCACAAUUCGGAUUUGAGUAAGCAAAAACAAUUAAAUUUUAUUGGACCAUUUGGGCUUAAUAUCAA
Molecule: RNA transcript, 1202 nt
Organism: Beta vulgaris subsp. vulgaris (sugar beet)
Lineage: Eukaryota; Viridiplantae; Streptophyta; Magnoliopsida; Caryophyllales; Amaranthaceae
Exons: 5
Source: RefSeq, a predicted model, not a curated record